This 1054-nucleotide long non-coding RNA is filed under the name Sus scrofa (pig). RNAcentral's name for it is "lncRNA (ENSSSCG00040012105.1)". Lineage: Eukaryota; Metazoa; Chordata; Mammalia; Artiodactyla; Suidae. The record is from RNAcentral.
AUGUAUUACAUGCAUUUCCACAAAUAUGCCUGUAUGUGAGAUAAAGAUAGGAAAAUGUCAACUAAGAGUGAUGUAAGUACUGGUUGCAAUUGCAGGUGAUUGACUUUUAUUCUUGAGUCUGUUUUCCUUUUUCAUGUUUUUCGCAAUGGAUGCAUAUUGUCUCUGUACUACUAAAAAGGGUUACCACAGGGACUGGUACGCCUUAAAUAUAACUUCUGGAACUGGACCUGGACAUGCCAACGCUGCCUCUCACCAGCUGCAGGACUUUGAGUAAAUGAAAUUGAACUACCCUCUUCCCAGCAGGUGUUCUCACUUGAUACACGCGGGUAAUAAAUUUCUUACUGGUUAGGGUUAAAUGGCACCAUAUGUAGGGUCUCAGGCACACUCAGUAGGGAUUCCUUGAUUAGGGAACCGAGCUCUGAGCUCAACCCUGGAUCCAAGGCAGUGUUUGAGAUCUCAGUGCCUCAGGGGCUCUCCCUGCUCUAACCCACGACCCUGACCUACAAUCCCGCCGGGGAGGGAGCCGCUGCCUCCUCUUGCCUUCGCACCUCGGUGGCUGGGGUGACUCGUUCUCCCCGGCGGCCUCUUGAGGAUGAGGUGCAGUCUCUUCCCAGGCUCCACGAGUUUUCGGGGCUCAAAGAAACACCAGCAGCGUCCCGGGAGGAGAAAGAGGGUCCCCCGUCCUUUGGGGCCGCGCGGGACCCGGCUGCGGGGGCUGGACUCCCCGCUACCCAUUUCCGAAAAGUCGCCGCAGAUUUUCGGCCACCAGAAGCCGCCUAGUGCAAGGCAAGCGUCGGAGUUUGGAGAGGCCUGGGCGGGUGUGACCGGGUGGUGCAGAGGCUUCUCAAGAAAGGGGCAGCUUUUUUGCGGGGGGUGUGUGUGUGGGGGAAGCUUUCGUCCGAAAUUUAGCUCCGCUGGGGCUUGGGAUAUUUGCUUUUCCUCCCCAACGUCUGCUUUAUUCUCUUCCAAAGAGCAUGUUCUGUUGCCGGAUUCUGGGCAUUUUCCGACCUCCUCAAAAAGGAUAUGCCGGGAAAGGAACAUGCAGAUAGUUUAA